Molecule: RNA transcript, 1525 nt
Organism: Tripterygium wilfordii
Lineage: Eukaryota; Viridiplantae; Streptophyta; Magnoliopsida; Celastrales; Celastraceae
Gene name: non-functional pseudokinase ZED1-like
Exons: 3
Source: RefSeq, a predicted model, not a curated record
CUCUGUCUCCGUGACGGGACCGACUUCUGAGUUCUUUCUGGCUACCUAUCAGUGCCUUUCUUCGAAGUUGUAAUGUGGACUCGAAUGACGAAUGUUCUCUACUCAUGAAAGCUGGUUUCCAUGGAAAAUUGGCGAUGAAACGAACCUAAGUAUCAAGUUUUCCUUUGCAAAUAAUUAUCAAGAAGUUGCAAGGAGAUUUUUGUGGAAUCAACGGAGAUGCCAUAUUUGUGCCCUAGUUUCAUUUCAAGGUACUUGGAAACGACUGAGAAAAAAAGAAAGAGAUCAUUUUUACGGAAUGGAAGCUUGUUAUUGAAGGAGUUGAUUGCUUCCUCUGACGGAAAAUAUAACCCCUUCCGCAUUUAUUCAGAAGAAGAGCUCAAGAAGGCAACCAACAACUAUGAUCCUAAUUGCAUUUUCCAUAUCAAUACCUUUGGAAAGUGGUACAAGGGUACUAUUGAAGGUCGAGUUGUUCCCGUAUGCAAGUCAUCUUGGUUGCCUGUCCAUGUCAAGCAUCUAACAGGCAAAUGGAGCGAAAUGUUGGUGAAUAAUUGGCGCAAUGAUGCAGUUACCGAUGUCUCUAUUUCGGCAAUGUUGAGUGGUCACAAGAAUGUUUUGAAGCUCUUAGGAUGCUGUCUCGAGACAACUGUUCCAAUGGUCGUGUAUGAAUAUGCAGGGAAUAGAACUCUGUGUGAUCGAAUUCACACCACCGCUGGAAGUGAUUCACAACCAUUGCCAUGGAAAAGUAGGUUAGAGAUUGCAAGGGAGAUAGCUCAUGCAAUUGCAUAUCUCCACACUGCAUUUGCAAAGCCUAUCAUUCAUAGAAAAAUAAGGCCCUCUAAUAUUUUACUGGACCAAAAUGAUGUUCCAAAACUGUUGGAUUUUUCGUCUUCAAUGACAAUCCGUGAGGGUGAGACAGUCAAGGUAGAUACAUAUGCAGGAAGCUUGGGCUAUAUGUCAGCAGAUAUUGGAUUUGAAGUAAAUGAGAAAGUUGAUGUACAUAACUUUGGUUCACUUUUACUUGAGCUUCUAACAGGAAAGGAUCCUCGAGAAAUACAUGAAUUGGCUAUGGGAAAGGAUUAUAGUUUUCCCUAUUGUGAGGAUGGUCUUCAUUGCUUAGCACAUCACACUGAAAAUUAUUUAUCAUGCGAUUCCAUUGAAGAUAUUGUGGACUCUACAUUCUUUCUAACAGAGGGAGGAGGAUCCGAGCAACAGCAGCAGCUGCGUCAAUGGGAAGCGGUGAAAGAACUCGCUCUAAAAUGCUGGGCCAAUCCUAAGGAGGAGAGACCAACCAUGGUAGAAGUCACCAAACAACUCAGGCAAAUUGAAUUAAGCUAAUAUCCGACGUGCAGGUGAUGUUCAUAUAUGACAAGUCACUUGGUUUUUCUUAUACUUAAUGCAUCUAUAAACGUAAGUCCAAAAGACAAAAGUAUAUCUCUAAUUUGAUUUGGGUUUGUACAAGAAUAGACAAAGUAUAUAAUCUUAUUUAAUUUGGGUUUAUACGAGACAAAGUAUAAUCUUCCAUCCA